GGUUAAGCGACUAAGCGUACACGGUGGAUGCCCUGGCAGUCAGAGGCGAUGAAGGACGUGCUAAUCUGCGAUAAGCGUCGGUAAGGUGAUAUGAACCGUUAUAACCGGCGAUUUCCGAAUGGGGAAACCCAGUGUGAUUCGUCACACUAUCAUUAACUGAAUCCAUAGGUUAAUGAGGCGAACCGGGGGAACUGAAACAUCUAAGUACCCCGAGGAAAAGAAAUCAACCGAGAUUCCCCCAGUAGCGGCGAGCGAACGGGGAGCAGCCCAGAGCCUGAAUCAGUGUGUGUAUUAGUGGAAGCGUCUGGAAAGGCGCGCGAUACAGGGUGACAGCCCCGUACACAAAAAUGCACAUACUGUGAGAACUCGAUGAGUAGGGCGGGACACGUGGUAUCCUGUCUGAAUAUGGGGGGACCAUCCUCCAAGGCUAAAUACUCCUGACUGACCGAUAGUGAACCAGUACCGUGAGGGAAAGGCGAAAAGAACCCCGGCGAGGGGAGUGAAAAAGAACCUGAAACCGUGUACGUACAAGCAGUGGGAGCCUCUUAAUGGGGUGACUGCGUACCUUUUGUAUAAUGGGUCAGCGACUUAUAUUCUGUAGCAAGGUUAACCGAAUAGGGGAGCCGAAGGGAAACCGAGUCUUAACUGGGCGUUAAGUUGCAGGGUAUAGACCCGAAACCCGGUGAUCUAGCCAUGGGCAGGUUGAAGGUUGGGUAACACUAACUGGAGGACCGAACCGACUAAUGUUGAAAAAUUAGCGGAUGACUUGUGGCUGGGGGUGAAAGGCCAAUCAAACCGGGAGAUAGCUGGUUCUCCCCGAAAGCUAUUUAGGUAGCGCCUCGUGAAUUCAUCUCCGGGGGUAGAGCACUGUUUCGGCAAGGGGGUCAUCCCGACUUACCAACCCGAUGCAAACUGCGAAUACCGGAGAAUGUUAUCACGGGAGACACACGGCGGGUGCUAACGUCCGUCGUGAAGAGGGAAACAACCCAGACCGCCAGCUAAGGUCCCAAAGUCAUGGUUAAGUGGGAAACGAUGUGGGAAGGCCCAGACAGCCAGGAUGUUGGCUUAGAAGCAGCCAUCAUUUAAAGAAAGCGUAAUAGCUCACUGGUCGAGUCGGCCUGCGCGGAAGAUGUAACGGGGCUAAACCAUGCACCGAAGCUGCGGCAGCGACGCUUAUGCGUUGUUGGGUAGGGGAGCGUUCUGUAAGCCUGCGAAGGUGUGCUGUGAGGCAUGCUGGAGGUAUCAGAAGUGCGAAUGCUGACAUAAGUAACGAUAAAGCGGGUGAAAAGCCCGCUCGCCGGAAGACCAAGGGUUCCUGUCCAACGUUAAUCGGGGCAGGGUGAGUCGACCCCUAAGGCGAGGCCGAAAGGCGUAGUCGAUGGGAAACAGGUUAAUAUUCCUGUACUUGGUGUUACUGCGAAGGGGGGACGGAGAAGGCUAUGUUGGCCGGGCGACGGUUGUCCCGGUUUAAGCGUGUAGGCUGGUUUUCCAGGCAAAUCCGGAAAAUCAAGGCUGAGGCGUGAUGACGAGGCACUACGGUGCUGAAGCAACAAAUGCCCUGCUUCCAGGAAAAGCCUCUAAGCAUCAGGUAACAUCAAAUCGUACCCCAAACCGACACAGGUGGUCAGGUAGAGAAUACCAAGGCGCUUGAGAGAACUCGGGUGAAGGAACUAGGCAAAAUGGUGCCGUAACUUCGGGAGAAGGCACGCUGAUAUGUAGGUGAAGUCCCUUGCGGAUGGAGCUGAAAUCAGUCGAAGAUACCAGCUGGCUGCAACUGUUUAUUAAAAACACAGCACUGUGCAAACACGAAAGUGGACGUAUACGGUGUGACGCCUGCCCGGUGCCGGAAGGUUAAUUGAUGGGGUUAGCGGUAACGCGAAGCUCUUGAUCGAAGCCCCGGUAAACGGCGGCCGUAACUAUAACGGUCCUAAGGUAGCGAAAUUCCUUGUCGGGUAAGUUCCGACCUGCACGAAUGGCGUAAUGAUGGCCAGGCUGUCUCCACCCGAGACUCAGUGAAAUUGAACUCGCUGUGAAGAUGCAGUGUACCCGCGGCAAGACGGAAAGACCCCGUGAACCUUUACUAUAGCUUGACACUGAACAUUGAGCCUUGAUGUGUAGGAUAGGUGGGAGGCUUUGAAGUGUGGACGCCAGUCUGCAUGGAGCCGACCUUGAAAUACCACCCUUUAAUGUUUGAUGUUCUAACGUUGGCCCCUAAUCGGGGUUGCGGACAGUGUCUGGUGGGUAGUUUGACUGGGGCGGUCUCCUCCUAAAGAGUAACGGAGGAGCACGAAGGUUGGCUAAUCCUGGUCGGACAUCAGGAGGUUAGUGCAAUGGCAUAAGCCAGCUUGACUGCGAGCGUGACGGCGCGAGCAGGUGCGAAAGCAGGUCAUAGUGAUCCGGUGGUUCUGAAUGGAAGGGCCAUCGCUCAACGGAUAAAAGGUACUCCGGGGAUAACAGGCUGAUACCGCCCAAGAGUUCAUAUCGACGGCGGUGUUUGGCACCUCGAUGUCGGCUCAUCACAUCCUGGGGCUGAAGUAGGUCCCAAGGGUAUGGCUGUUCGCCAUUUAAAGUGGUACGCGAGCUGGGUUUAGAACGUCGUGAGACAGUUCGGUCCCUAUCUGCCGUGGGCGCUGGAGAACUGAGGGGGGCUGCUCCUAGUACGAGAGGACCGGAGUGGACGCAUCACUGGUGUUCGGGUUGUCAUGCCAAUGGCACUGCCCGGUAGCUAAAUGCGGAAGAGAUAAGUGCUGAAAGCAUCUAAGCACGAAACUUGCCCCGAGAUGAGUUCUCCCUGACUCCCUGAGAGUCCUGAAGGAACGUUGAAGACGACGACGUUGAUAGGCCGGGUGUGUAAGCGCAGCGAUGCGUUGAGCUAACCGGUACUAAUGAACCGUGAGGCUUAACCUU
RNAcentral lists this ribosomal RNA (2907 nucleotides) under Escherichia coli. RNAcentral's name for it is "23S ribosomal RNA". It matches the Rfam family "Bacterial large subunit ribosomal RNA". Lineage: Bacteria; Pseudomonadati; Pseudomonadota; Gammaproteobacteria; Enterobacterales; Enterobacteriaceae. The record is from RNAcentral.